UAUACUUUCAAAAUAGUAUUUAGGGUUCAGAAUCUUAAUUUUAUUGCGUUUACAGGUUACACCAACAUCGAGUAGUAUUAUAUUCUGGAUUUAAAAAAAUUAAUGUGUAAUAAAACCGUUUUCAUUAGGCCAAAAAUAUUUAUUUAUGCCUUUAAAACUGCUCUUAUUAUCUAUUUUUGACAUUAUUCGUAUUUCGCAUACUUUUCCAAAGAGAAAGUUUUGUUUUAAAAUCCCCUUUUAAAAAACAGAAACUAAAGGCCAGUCUACUUGACUACAUUCUCGAAUGUACAUACUUCUAAUACUUUAACUAGUACUGUCUCGUAGGCUUCCUCAAGACUUGUAUCAGACCGCAAAAGUUUCCAAAUUACUUAUCGCCAUUAAUAGUGGACAAGUAGGAAAGUAUAAAGGAAAGUCUCUUGACGAAAUAACUUUGUCAGACAAUGAAUCAUUGCUGGAUGAGACUGAAACAGAAAAACCUUUAUUGCAUGAUCGAAAACAAAAUGAUAGUGAAAAUGAAAUAGAAGAGAUAUGGAAACAGGAGCUCAGAGAACAAGCAAUAAAAAAUGCAGAUUUAGAUAAAAGGGAAAAUAAUAUAAGAAAAGGCAAGCGAGGAAAGUGGAAUUCAGAGCAAAAAAAUUUAUUGAAAAAUGCUUUCAAAGAACACAUAAAAAACAAAAAGGCUCCGAGAAAAGAAGAAGCCGAGUUGAUAAUGAAAAAACAUAAAGAUUUAUUCAAGGAUAAGACAUGGGCCACAGUAAAAGCUUUUGUUUAUAACUGUUAUAAAGGUUAAACGUUUUCUAAUAUACUUCAAACAUUCUAGACUUGUAAUC
Long non-coding RNA from Leptinotarsa decemlineata (Colorado potato beetle), 830 nucleotides. The record is from RefSeq and is a predicted model, not a curated record. NCBI's taxonomy places the organism in Eukaryota, Metazoa, Arthropoda, Insecta, Coleoptera, Chrysomelidae.